GUUGCAACUGGGAUUCAAACUAUGGUCAGCCAUGUAGACUGGACAAAAAGGCAGUCGUCCUGAUAAAAUUGAGAUGGCGGCUUUCUCAGGCAUCCAGUUAUGACCUGUCUCAUCUACAGAAGAAAGGGAAACUGAGGAACCAUCCCUUCACACAUGAUAAACCAUCUGGUUACAAAUGAGAUCCAAACCAUGAGAAACACAAGCAAGAA
Molecule: long non-coding RNA, 209 nt
Organism: Tupaia belangeri chinensis (Chinese tree shrew)
Lineage: Eukaryota; Metazoa; Chordata; Mammalia; Scandentia; Tupaiidae
Exons: 3
Source: RefSeq, a predicted model, not a curated record